GCAUUUUCAGCUUUUUAAGGUGAAAACUUUUCCUGUUCAAGUAUUUACGUCCUUUUAGUGUGAUAAGCGGUAACUUCUCACCCACACUCUCUUGACUUUAAGAAGCCUAGUGAUAAUAAUCUUAGCAUACGGUUUAGAAUCAGAAAGACUAACUAGAUCUAGGCCUGGAUCUAGGCGUUUAACCUUGCUAAGUUUGUUAUCUCAUGUGUAAACCAAGUGUAAUGCCGACCUUGCUCUUUGUACUCUGUUGGAGGGUAAAUAACAAAAUGUUUGUGGAAGACUUCAGGAAACCUUUUUUGUAUCAAAUGGUUAGAGAUAAAGUUAGAGUUAAAGCUAGGCGAAAGCUUAAAAUAAAUGAACCAAGGGGAGGAAAAACAGGAAAUAGCUUUUUUUAAAAAGGAAGAUGCUAUAACAGCAUAGGAUAACAUACUUAUUUCACAAUAUAAGAAAACUUGAUAAUGGUAGAUUGGUUGAAUGAUAACCUUAUAAGCUCCAGCUAAAAUAAACUUACUGGAGUUACUAAUAUUCUGACAAUGGUCUAAUUUACUUCCCAUCUGCCUUAAUAGGCGCUGUCAUAAAACUGAAAGAAGGAUUUUGGAGUGAGAAGAUUAGAGUUCAAAGGGUUGCCUUGCGUUUUAUAGCUGUGAAUCCUCAACCUUCAUGAACUUCAUUUGCUUUAUAAAAUCAGACAAAGAAUGAUCGCUAACAAAAACAGUCACCAUUUAUUGAGUGUUAGUUAUGGCAAACACUGUACUAAAUACUGUACUUUAAAUAUAUAUUUUUAAUCUGCACAGCAACCAUGUGAAGUAACUUUGAAUAUUAUUAGUAUUCUACCUAUGAGGAAGCUCAGGGACAAAGAGGAUAAAUUGUUUUUUGGAGGUCAUAGCUGAGAUUAAAUCAUGAAUCUACAGGACCCUCUCUUAACCCCCACAUUAUGCUAUCUCCCUGACUACCUCACACAAUUCUUUAGAAUCUCAAUUACAGUAUUUUUAAAGUACUUUAUAAAGUGCUACAGUACUGUUUUAUUUGACUAUGUAUAUAGUUAACAUAUAUAUAUUGUUAUAUAUUUAUAUGUGGCAAAUAGAGGGAUUAUAUUUUGUUGCAUUCCAACAUAAUAGUUUUGAUAGCAGAUUCCAGUUUUUCCAAGUUGAUGGGAGAUUGAUCUGCUGGGCUUGGAUUUAUUUUUCAAUGGAAGGAGUGUUGUAAUGAAAAACAGAAGCAGCUUGAAGACUUAGCAUCUACCUGGCACUGGCACUGUGUUAGGGCUAAAAAGUUUAUUUUUGAAAGCCAUCUUCCAUUUAUAUUCCACCAGAAUGCAAGCUUCAUUGAGGCAGAGACCUUAUUUUGUCAACAUAAUGUCCCCAGGGAUAUCAUUAUUUGAAUGAAUGAAUGUCAUUUAUACCACACAAAUAAGACCAAACAAAAAAGGAAAGGGAUAUACUAUUUUUGUCUGGGCUUAGAGUAUUGGAUAUCUAGAGUCGGUCAUCAUACAAUAAAUUAUUUUAAGUAAUAAUCGUAAACAAUAUAAUGGCCAGAAAAUACAGUGAACAUUUUAACUUUGUAUAUACAAUCAUGGCAGUUGAAAAGUAAGUGAAUUUCAAUAAAAGAAAAAUAUCUGUAAAAAGUAACAAUUUAAGCAACUAUUAAAUCAUACCAUUGAUGAAACAUUUUCUUGAUUUCUUCUUGAAAGCAAUUCAAAAAUAGUAAAUUUAAAAAAUAUUAUUUCCAUUCUUUGAAAUAUUUUACACAUAAACUAAAAUAUGCAUAUAUGAAACAAAGUAUUACAUUUCUCAAUAUGUACCUUGUUUCACUCUUUUAAGUUUUAAACAAAAAUGAAUGCUCCAACACUACAGAAAAAUUGAUCUUUGCUUUUUAACUCAAAGCCUAUAAAUGAAAAGAUUUCUCCAGGUUACUUAGAAACAAGGCUCCCCUUUCAGAAAACACCAUAAUUUCUAAUCUGUUGAACAACCACAUAUGUUGUCUUAUGAUAUUCCUGACUAACAUACCAUGUUAUACGAAAAAGAUUUACUUAUAAAAAUGGCUUAGGUUUUUGCUUUUCAAAUAAGAUGAACAAGUCUGUAACAAUAGCGCCCAUGCUAUUUACCCUAUUUCUGAAUUCCUAAAGCUCUUAAUCAUUCAUUCUGUAUGACUAAGUCAUAUAUUUUUUUUUAUCCCGUGCAGUGCUAAUGACAGUUCUGAUCAUACAGUGAGAAUGGUCAGACUACAUACCUGUUUGAGGAAGAUAGCAUCCCUUGUUUAUGGCUUCAUUUUGAGCCCUUAGUCUAGACGUACCCAGCAUUGAGCUCUAUCUAGUUUAAAGAAGACUAGAGCCCCAGGAAUACUAUUAGCGGUAGAAAUAAAGAAUAAAUAAGAAGCUAUUAUAAAGCAUAUCUUUAGAAAAAUUUCUAAUCCUUUCCAACCAAAACACUGAGGCAGGAGAAUUAGCCCUCCCUUGGUAUUAUACAUAUCUGUUUAUAAGCUUUCUAAGAGAGGUUUCAUGUCCUUUUCAGUUUUGAACCCUAAGUCCCUACCAUAGUACUGGGCAUGUAGUAAAAUAAAGUCUCAAAUGUUUAAAAAAAUUUUUUUAACAUUUAUUUAUUUUUGAGAGACAGAGCACAAGUGAGGGAGAGGCAGAGAAAGAGGGAGACACAGAAUCUGAAGCAGGAUCCAGGCUCUGAGCUGUCAGCACAGAGCCCAAUGCGGGGCUUAAACUCACAAACCAUAAGAUCGUGACCUGAAUCGAAGUCGGACGCCCAACCAAGCCACCCAGGCACCCCAAAUCUCAAAUAUUUUUUGAUGAUAACGUAGUGAAGAUCAAGACUCUCAAAAAUAAAACUAAAAAAUCCAAUUAAGACAAUGAAAACAAUUUUAAUUUGUAAGUAUUCUUGGUAACUUUAAUGGAUACAAAUAUUUAAAAAUAUUUGAAGAGACACUGGGAACCAAAAUAAUAGUUCACUCGUUUGUCCUCUUUCUGUGUUCGCUAAGAAAUCACUUUCUAGUUCUUCCUCUUUAACCAGAAAAAAAGUUAUAUUCCAAUCAAAACCUUGAGCUAUGCCUGAGUACGAAGACUUCAUCUCAUUUUUAGCAAUAUUAAAGGUGAAAAUGAUAAAGCUAAAAACACAUUGAAUUAUAGUUGAUAUUUUAGCAAAUUGCUUAAUAGUCACUGCUUCAGACCGCAAAAAGAAACACUGAGGCAACAUGUUCUAGUGGCACAAGUGAAUAGAAAAGGCUGAAUGACAUCCUUAAAUUACUCCCAACACUCCUUGAUUAGGUUUAACCUGGGUAAGUUAUUCAUCCUCACUGAUCAUCAUUUUGUUCUAUUUCUGCAAUGGAGACAUCUCUUAAUUGAUUAGGGCAGUAUUUAUUUUUUCCCUUUAGAGUUGAAAGAGCUGAGCCACUGAGAAGGGUAAGCUACUUUCUUAAGAUGAAUAAGAUGGUACAGAGGAGAUUCAAAUUAAGAUUUUUUUUGAUCCAAGUCUGGUGUUCUUUUUUCUACUGUACCAAAUAAUUGUGUGAACUCAGUAAGCUGGACUAGAUCAAUAGUUUUCAGCCCUGGCUGCAUAUUAAAAUCACCUGGAGCAUUUUAAAACUGCAUAACUGCUUGGGUCCCACCCCACAUCAAUGAAGCCAAAAUAUCUAUGCUGGAAGUUCUACCCACCAGUAUUUUUUUAAGGCCUCCUUGAGUGAUUCUAAUGUAUCGCUAAAAUUGGAAACGACUGAACUAAUUGCUAACUUCCCUUCACAUUAAAAAGUCUAUGAAUGAAUCCUGAACUCUACUUAUUUUGUUAUUCUUCAUCCCCAAGAUACAUAUCUCCACUCACAAUUUUUUGCAUAGUAUAGUGCAGUAACACUUUAAUCACUGGUAUAACUUACCAAGAUAUUAGACCUGUCAGAAAAAGGCAUAAAUAUUUCUGAGAUUCUUGUUAAAAAAGUAUUCUGAAAAUCUGCUAACAUUAUAGCCAAAGUUAUUGAAUUAUUAAUGGAACCACUCUCAACUAGUCAGCGCCAAUGAAAAGAAAGUAAGAUGGAAUACUUGGCAACCAUAGGAUGAUCAAAUUCAUAAGCUCUAGAUUAACUUGUCUGUGGAUACUUGCCAUUUGGCUGCUCAGUAUGCAAAUACCUCUCCUAUUUGAUUUAAUCCCAAACUAGGUAGAAAGGAAGAAGAAGGAGGGCAAAUAGAUGCAUUCCUUUUCCUAUCUCCCUGGUAGCUAGGGUUUGGGUAAGUGGGCUCAACCACUUAAUUAAUCAAUGUCCUACUACAGGCUUUGAAUUUUGAGAGAUUCAGAAUUACAGAGUUGCUGUGACAAGUGCCCAGAGUGACUGAGUCCAAUAAGAUGGUGGCAGAAGUGCCAAUGGCAACAAGUGUUAUAGUAAAAGCACUAGAAAACUGUUCUGUGGCAUAGUCUCAACAGGGCCUUUUCUCUGUCUCUACAAUCUUCCUGACAAUUCUUUGGUCUCCUAAUAUACUUCCAAUAAAAUUAUUUUCAGUUCAAGUUAACCAUGGUCAGUUUGAUUGUAAAUAAGAAUGCUGAAUGGCAAACAUUUUAAUUUAAAGAAUGAAAAAUAAAAUCUUUGACUAGGACAUUUGGGUAGCUCAGCUGAUUAAGUGUCUGACUUGAUUUUGGCUCAGGUCACGAUCUUACAGUUUGUGGGAUUGAGCCCCGGGUCAGGAUCUGAGCUGAUACCGUGGAGUCUGCUUGGGAUUCACUCUCUCCCUCCCUCUCUGCCCCUCCCCCGCUUGUGCUUGUGCUUUAUCUCUCAAAACAAAUAAACAUGAAAAAAAUAAUAAAUGAGUAAAAAAUCUUUAACAUUGUGCAAACUAGAGAUCUGAUUAUGCUAGUAAUUUUACCAUUAUGUGGCCAUUUGGAGAUGGAGUCAGACGAGUAGAAUUCUAGAAUCAUCAUUUCCAACCAGUUAAAGUUGUGUUUUUUUUCCAUGGAAGUACAUGACUAUCAUUUUUAUAUCAACCAUUUGAAUUAAGAUUGUUGGAGUGGGAAACAUUUCAUUUCCUGGAGAUAAUCAUAACAUUUCCUGUUAAGAAGAAGCAUAUAGAGGAUCCUGGGUAGCUCAGCUGUUAAAGCGUCUGACUCUUGAUUUUGGCUUAGAUGAUGAUCUCACAGUUGUGAGAUCCAGCCCCACGUGGAGCCCCACAUCUCUGCCCACAUCUCUGCACUGGAAAUGGAACCUGCUUGAGAUUCUCUCUCUCCUUCUCCCCCUGCUCCUCCCUCAUUUGCGCCCACCCCCCCCCUGGGGGAAAAAAAAGAAGCAUAUCAUGUCAGAAAUUUGGUUUUAGGUAUCAGGAAAGUAUUUUUAAGCUAAAACAAGAUUAUUAUUUCUGUCUAAACUGACAGUGCAAUAUUGAUUUUCUGAAAAAGUUUUUUUUUUUUUUUUUAAGAACAGAGCAGCUAAGUCGUUCAGAUUGCUUAACUGAAUCCUCCAAGCUUUGUAAUUAAGUGAUAAAACAACAGUUUGUGUGUAGUGUUUACAGUAAGAGUUGUCGGGCUCUGUACUAUCAGUUACUCAGAUGUGUUGUUAUUAUACAAUAACAUACUGUAUGGCUGUGUGUUGGUAUGGAUAGUGUGCUCUUCAGGAAGACAUUCAAGGGACACCAAAUAGCUGAGGGCUAAAACUAACCUUGUUCUAUCUUUAUGGUGGUUCCAGCUUUAAAUUUCUUAAUUUAUAGGCUUUGUUUUUUGCUUUAUCUUGUUUUGUUUCUGUUUUGUUAGUUUUCUCCUGUUGUUAGAGAUAUAUGAAGGAAACGGCACGUAAGUAAAAUACUGACCUCUGAUUGAUGAAUGAGUCACAAUGGUACUAAACAAAUAGAUUUACUGAUUUAAAACAUCAUGCAAUAUUAGCUCUUUAUAUUAGUUUUUUUUUUCCUUUAGCAUAGUAUUCUGCAUUUGAUCUGCCUUACUUCCUGACUUGCUGGUAAGGGAUUCAGCUUCUCAAGGAGAUCUUUCUAAUGGCCAAGUUGGUGGUGAAAGCAAAGAUGGAAGAACUUUCCAUGUUACAGGACCCAGAGAAAAAAUUAAUCGUCCAAAUCUCAAGAAAAGGUGGUAAGCCACUAAAUUUAAAACUGUUUAUGGAUUAGAAACCAAAUAAAUAAGAUGAUUUUAAAUGCCACACAGUGCUGCUUCAGAGAGAGAACAAAUGAAUGAAUAUAAAAAUGAGUGAGAAAGAAGAAGAAAGGAAGGAAGAAGAAAAAGAAGGGAGGAAUAAAGGAGAAAAGGAGAUAAUUGUGUUGAAAAAGGGAGCUUGGCAAUCUUGUAAACUGAUACCUUAACCUAAUCCAAACCUAGCUUUGGGUUAGAAAGGAAAGAUUCCUUAGAAAAACAUAACCAGGUAGAUUAAGAUGAGAUUUCCUCCUCCAUAACCUUCUUUUAUUUUGCUUCGUGUACACGUCAUAGGCAUACCAAGAACAAACAAGGGAGCAGUUUUUGCUGUUGAGUACCUUUGGACUUUCAGUAUACAACUGUCUGUAGUAGGUCCUAUUCUAAGAUACAGUUUUGAGCACAGUGUCCAAAAUUUAUGUGUGGAAAUGGUUGUAAAAUCCUAGGUAAAUGUUGCACUGUAACCAAUUUAACAAUGAUUUAUCUGGGCAAAAUUUAUGGGUUUGUUUCCUUUCUGUGUUAAGAAAGAUUUAUGUUUCAAUAGGCUUAGAAAGACACCUACUGGAUUGUGUGUCCACAGUAACAGAUAAUAUAAACCUACUAAGCCAAAAUCUGGCUUCAGGGUAACAUUACAAUUUCACAGACUGGAGUCUAGAGUGCUAUGACCCUCUCUGGUGAACUAGGACAACAGUGCUUGUGGUCUCUUCACUGUGGAAGGAAGGUCAGCUACCCAGUGUGCCACCUUCCCAAACUAACUAGAUUAUUGCUGGAAAAGGAAAGUUCUAGAAUUCUUGAAGCAGUUUCUGAUAUUGGGACUUCAUUUUUUUCUUGUAUUUCUUUUUAUUAAAAAAAAUUGUUUUUAAUGUUUAUUCAUUCCUGAGACAGGGAGACAGAGCAUGAGCAGGGGAGGGACACAGAGAGAGAGGGAGACACAGAAUCCGAAACAGGCUCCAGGCUCUGAGCUGUCAGCACAGAGCCCAAUGCGGGGCUUGAACCCAUGAACUGUGAGAUCAUGACCUGAGCCAAAGUCGGACGCUCAACCGAGUGAGCCACCCAGGCACCCCGGGACUUCAUUUUUAAAUGUAAACACGGGUCUUUCCGCUGCUUAUAUCUUUUUGACAUUAUAAGUCAUGAAUUCAACAUGCUUACCCAGUAAUAACCUUGGUUAUGUAAGGUUAACCUGAGACUUUAUAACAAUUUGAUAUGGACACAUCCUUAACAGUAUAUCAAAGAUUCUAGGAGUAGAACAAGUUUCCCGAUACAUAUGGGUGGAAUAGAGGCAUAAGCCUAUGCCCGGUGCAUAGGAUGUCUUUGGAAACAGCUACCUGCCCCCCUUCCACAGGAAUAUAGUAGUAGAUUCCUGACAGUCCUGGUUUUUCCGUGAGACUCUUCAACACAUACAUUUCUGGUCAUACCAGUUGGACCACAGGUAGAUUCAUUAUUCUAAUUGGCCAAUCAGAUUCUCAUUCCUGAGAAUUUAAAAUCAGAUGUGAAGAAGGGCCAUAUUAGUCUGUCUCUUCCCAGUGGAUCCAUAUCCUACUAACUAGGGACUGGGUCACGGCCAUAUUCAGCUUUGAGUAUUGGGUGGCAGACAGAAGUUAGUCUUCAGGGACAAAGAAGAAAAAAAACAGAUGUACAGAAAGGAGCAGAGACAAAACAGAUUAUUUCCUAGGUUCCAGUGCACAGUUCCAGGCCCUUCUUGGUGUCUGUCUGCAUACCAACCUUUGAGUUUUAUGAGACAUCCUGUAUCUUUGUAUAAAAUUACCUUUCUUCUUGCUAAAGGGAGCUCCAGUAGGAUGCUGCUACUUACAAAUAAAAGUACGAACUUUACAAAAUAUGACAAUGUAGUGCAUAAGCAAAAAAAAUUUUUAAAAAUAAAGUAAAUGUGUCAAAGUUGCAGACUUUUAUGCCUUAUGAAGAAUUAUAUACGAUAUACAAAUAUCUAAUGCAUAAUAACUGCCAUCACUGUUGCAUAAUAAAACCACAUUAGAAUUAGGGUGGGAACGAGUGGCCUACUGGUAAAUCUAAUUCAUUAUAUAAAAAGCUCUAAACAAGUCUGUAACCUGGUCUUUUGACCUCUCCCUGAAUUGCUUUAUAGAGCUCUUCAAAUAAUUUUUUUAAGUUUUUAUUUAUUUUUAUUUUUGAGAGAGCAUGAGCAGGGGAGGUGCAGAGAGAGAGGAAGACAGAGGAUCUGAAGGGGUCUCUGCGCGGACAGCAGAGAUCCCAAUGUGGGCCUUGAACUCACGAACCAUUAGAUCAUGACCUGAGCUGAAGACAGAAAAUGCUUAACUGAGUCACCCAGGCACCCCCAGAGCUCUUAGAAUAAUUUAAUGUAUUCUGAUACAUUAUAGCAAUAGUUAUCUUAAUGUGGGAGGAGAAAAGGACAUCACAGAAUCACUGGAGGAGUUUUUCCAUUAGCAUCACUUGCCCUAAACAGAAGGCAAUUAUAAAAAUUAAUACAAUAGACUUCCGCUUCUGGGAAGAUGGGGUAGACAUACUUUUUCCAGUUCCACUCUCUAAGUACAGCAAAAAUCCCUGGACAUUACAUAUUCAACAAGCAUAAGAAAACUCUGAAAGACGGAGAGAAGAAAGCAGACUGCAGCUGGACUAGAGACCAAGCAGUGACAUGGUAGUGAGUUCCCUGGGUUUGCUUUUUCCUCAUAUAUCCCAGACUUGGAGCUUAAGAAGUCAGAAAUGCCAAAAACAAAACAAAAAACUCUAACCAAAGAAUGCUCUCUUUACCCAAAGGAUUAGGAAAGGGGCAACCUAGCAAGACAGAAAACUUUUGGAAAAUAACCACUGUACUCCAGCCAAACAACAAAGAAAAGACUGUGGCCCUACCUUCACCCAUGGUAGCAAAGGCCAGGUGAGUAGCUUAGAUUUCCACCUUUGCUGGAAUUUCUUUUUCUUUUUUUUCUUUCUUUCUUUUUUUUUUUUUUUUUUUUUUUUUUUUUUUUUUUUUGAGAAAGAGACAGAGAGGGUGCACACUGUCAGCACAGAGCCCGACACUAGGCUCAAACUCAUGAACUGUGAGAUCAUGCCCUGAGCCAAAGUCAAGAGUCAGAAGCUUAACUGACUGAGCCACCCAGGCACUGCUACCCUUGCUGGACUCUUCAUGAGGUGCACCACCACUAGGUGGAGUAGAGAAUAGGGGCUUUUAUCCCCACCAGGGGGGUAACAAGCCCCAUGCAAACACUCGGUGUCAGUGGAGACCAGGUGGAAAACUAGACUUCCACCUCCAUUGACAGGAGGCACCCCUUUCUGUCUGCUGGGGUAGAAUCAGAAAAGUCCUAGUGGAGAGUCAGUAUUUUUAUAGUAACAAGGCCACCCCUUCUUCCCAACACCUCACUCAUCCCCAACACCCCUCACCACUUGUGGUGUAGUGUUAAUGAAAAAACAUGUGGGAGCAGUAAUGAGGUAUUCGUAUCCCUUCCAACCAGGGAGGUAUCACUGGAAGCCUGGUGGGAAGCCAGUACUCCCACCCCUACCCAGCAGUAACAAGGAGCCUCCCAUUAGGGUGUCAACAAAGUCUGAGUGAGGAACCUGGACUUCUGAAUCAGGACUACCUAACCUGGUGGUAAUUAGAUGGUGCUCCACUUUUCCUGUUGGAGAGGUGUGAGAGGAAGCCAGCUAAAACAGAAAGUUAAAUAAGGUCCAGAUUGUUAUAAUAUUCAAAAUAUUCAGAUCUCAACCAAAAUUCACUUAUCAUACCAAGAUCUCAGACUGAGUGAGAAAAGACAAUCAAUAAAUGCCAACACUACAACGAUAAAGAUGUUAGAGUUAUCUGACAGAGAUUUUACGGCAGCCAUCAUAACAUUGCUUCAGUGAGCAAUUGUGAACACAGUUGAAUCAACUGAAAAAAUAGUCUCAGCAAAGAAAUAGGAAGUCUCAGCGAAUAUUUAGAAGAUACAAGGAAAAACAAAUGGAAAUUUCAGAACUGAAAAAAUAUAAUAACAAACAGCUCAGUUGAUGGGCUCAACAGCAGAAUGAUAGGGACAGAGGGAAAAGUUUGUGGACUGGAAGAUACAGCCACUGAAAUUACCCAAUCUGAACAACAGAGAGAACAUAGAGUAAAAAACAUCAAGAAGAGCCUCAGAGACCUGUGGGACUAUUACAAAACUGCUAAUGUUCAUAUCACUGGAGCCCCAGGAAAGGAGAGAGAGAGUAGGGCUUAAAAAGUUCCCUAAGAUGUAAUAUCUAAACACUUCCCCAAUUCAGCAAAAACCAUAAGCCUACAGAUUUAGGAAGUUGAAAGAACUUCCAAAUAGGAUAAAUCUGAUACACCAAAGCACAUUAUAAUCAAACUUCUAAAACCUGCAGACAAAAAAAUCUUGAAAGCAACCAGAGAAAAAAAAGCACCUUACCCACAAGGGAAAAAAAAAAUUUUUAAACAAUAGUGGAUUUCUUACCAGAAAACAUAGAGGCCAGGGGGAAGCAACAUAACAUUUUUUUUUUAAAUUUUUUUUUUUUUCCAACGUUUAUUUAUUUUUGGGACAGAGAGAGACAGAGCAUGAAUGGGGGAGGGGCAGAGAGAGAGGGAGACACAGAAUCGGAAACAGGCUCCAGGCUCCGAGCCAUCAGCCCAGAGCCUGACGCAGGGCUCGAACUCACGGACUGCGAGAUCGUGACCUGGCUGAAGUCGGACGCUUAACCGACUGCGCCACCCAGGCGCCCCAGUUGGACGUUUUUUUUAAGGCUAGGUCUGCUGGUGAAAUUCUCUUAGUUUUCCUUCAUCUGAGAAUGUUUUGAUUUCCCUAACAAUAUUUUACUGGAUAUAGGGCUCUGGGUUGACAGUUUUUUUCUUUCAUCACUUAAAAAAUGUUAUGUUGGGGCGCCUGGGUGGCGCAGUCGGUUAAGCGUCCGACUUCAGCCAGGUCACGAUCUCGCGGUCCGUGAGUUCGAGCCCCGCGUCNNNNNNNNNNNNNNNNNNNNNNNNNNNNNNNNNNNNNNNNNNNNNNNNNNNNNNNNNNNNNNNNNNNNNNNNNNNNNNNNNNNNNNAAAAAACGUCCAACAGAUGUUAGAAGUUCUCUAAAUGGAAAGAAAAGGAAUUUUUUUAAAGGAAUCUUGGAACAUCAGGAAGGAAUAAAGAACAUAGUAAGCAAAAAUAUAGGUAAGUGCAAUAGAUUUUCCUUCUUCAGUUUUCUAAAUUACAUUUGAUGAUUGCAUCAAAAAUUUAGACCACUAUCUGAUAUGGUUCUAAAUGUAUAUAGAGGAAAUGUAUUAAAGGCAAUUACAAUAUAAACAGAAGGAACAUAAAUAUGUGCAGCAAAAACUGAUAGAACUGGAAGAAGAAAUAGAUAAAUCUACACUUAUAGUUGGAGACCCCAGUGCCUCUCUCUUAACAAUUUAUAGAACAAACUAGACAGAAAAUCAGCAAGGCUAUAGAACUGAACAGUGGCAUCAACUAAUAGGAUAUAAUCAACAUUUGUAGAAUAUUUCACCUAACACACAUUCUUACCCAUGGAACAUACACCAAAAUAGACCAUAUCCUGGGCAAUAAAACAAAUCUCAGAAAAUUUUAAGGAAUGAAAUAAUACUGAGUAUAUUCUCCAACCACAAUGGAAUCAAACUGGAAAAUUAGAAAGGUAACAGGAAAGUCUCUAAAUGGAAACUAAAUAACACACUUCCAAGUAACCUAUGGGUCAAAGAGUAAGUCUCAAGGGAAAGAAAAAUACAUUGAAAUGAAUGAAAAUGCAACAUAUCAAAUUUUGUGAGACCAGCUUCUGCAGUGCUGAGAGGGAAAUUUAUAGCAAUAGAAUGCACACAUGAGAAUAAGAGGAAAAGUCACAAAUCAGUAAUCUAAGUUCCCAUCUUAGAAAACUAGAAAAAGAAGAACAAAAUAAAUCCAAAGUAACCAAAGGAGGAAAUAUUAAAAAACAGAAAUUAAUAAAAUUGAGAACGGAAAAACAAUAGAGAACAUCAAUGAAACAAAAAAGCUGGUUCAUUGGAAAAAUCAAUUAAGGCGACAACCUCUAUCUAGCAAGACUGACAAAAAAAAGACACAAAUUACUAAUAUCAGAAAUGAAACAUGAGAUAUCAAUAGACCCUGCAGAUAACAAUAUGAUAAUAAUAGAAUGCUACAAACAACUCUGCACAUGUACAUUUGACAAAUUAAAGACCAAUUCUUAAAAAGUUCAAACUACGUCAACACACCUAAUGUGAAAUAGAUAAUUUGAGUAGCCCUAUAAUUAUUAAGGAAAUUGAAUACUUUUAUUUUUUUUUUCUAAUUUUUUUUUUCUUAAGUUUAUUUAUUUUUGAGACAGAGAGAGACAGAGCAUGAACGGGGGAGGGUCAGAGAGAGAGGGAGACACAGAAUCGGAAACAGGCUCCAGGCUCUGAGCUGUCAGCACAGAGCCCGACGUGGGGCUCGAACUCACGGACCGCGAGAUCGUGACCUGGCUGAAGUCGGACGCUCAACCGACUGCGCCACCCAGGCGCCUGAAUACUUUUAAAACUCUACAAAAGAAAUCUGGUGGCUCAGAUGGUUUCACUAGAGAAUGCUACCAAACAUUUGAAGACUUUUAGGAAAUAGAAGAGGAGGGACCACAUCCCAAUUCAUUUUAUAAAAGUAGUAUUAGCCUGAUAUGAAAAACAAAUAAUUACAAAGCUGCAGGCCAAUAUUACUCAUUUAUAAAAAUGCAAAAAAUCUUUUUUAAUUUAUUUUGAGAGAAAGAAAGCGUGAGUCGGGAAGGGGCAGAGGGAGAGGAAGAGGGAGAGAAUCCCAAGUAGGCUACAUACUAUCAGUGUGGAGCCCUGAUGCAGGGCUCAAACCCAUCAACCGUGAGAUCAUGACCUGAGCCAAAAUCAGACGUUUAACUGACUGAGCUGCCCAGGGACCCCAAGAUGCAAAAUGAUUAAACAAUGUUAACAGAUAAAAUUCAGGAAUAUACAGUAAAACCUUGGUUUGUGAGUAUAGUUUCUUCCAGAAACAUGCUUGUAAUCCAAGGCACUUAUAUAUCAAAGCAAAUUUUCCCCUAAGAAAUAAUGGAAACUCAGAUUAUUUGUUCUACAACCCCAAAAUAUUCAUAUAAAAAUGAUUACAGUACUGUAAUAUAAUGCAAAAUAAUAAAGAAAACACAAAAUAUAAAGAAAAAUAAAUUAACCUGCACUUACUUUUGAAAACCUUCACGGCUGGUGUGAGGGAGACAGGGAGGAGGGUUAUUGUGUAGGACAACUUUCACUAUCACUAAUGGAAUCACUGCUAUCUAUCGGCUCAAUGGAAUCUUUUCUGCAUGGGGGCCAUUGUAUGUGUUUGCUCAGAUGUUGACUGUAGUACAGUAUUAAUAAACUGUUGUCAUAUACUGUAUUUAGUGUAGCUGGCAAUAAGGCAGAAAAGGAAAGGUUCUAUAUCUAAAGGCAGCCUGACCUAGAAUGAAGCCAAGCAUUCCUAAGCUUACUCUUGUAUGGAAAAGCAAAGGACCGUCCAUAGGUGCUUUGAAGUGACAAAAAUACACUAGUGCUAGUUGUGGGCACUUUCCAGCGUUCUGAAAAAUCACUCAUUUCUCCCAAACACCUUGGCCUGAGACCAAGCAUCUGAGCAUAGGAGAGAUGAUCACCCACAAUCCCACAGCGAGUGAGAGAGAAAGAGAGAGAAGAACCAUUGGCUCAGUUGUGAUCAUGUGAUGUUUGGCAUCACAUACUACUCAUAUUGCAAGACAUCGCUCAUUUAUCAAGUUAGAGUUUAUUAGAAAUGUUUUCUCAUCUUGUGGAACACUCGCAGAACAAGUUAUUCGCAAUCCAAGGUUUUACUCUCUAUAUAUAUUUUAAAUCCUACUCCAGGGUUACCUGGGUGGCUCAGUUGGUUAAACAUCCGACUCUUGAUUUCAGCUCAGGUCAUCCUCUCAGGGCUCUGAGAUCGAGUCCCGCAUUGGGCUCUGCUCUGGGUGUGAAACCUGCUUGAGUCUCUCUCUCCCUUUUCCUUUGCCUCUUCCUCUCUCUCUCUUUCUCUAAAAAAAAAAAAUCAUACACCAGUCAUGCACCAUACACCAUGACCAAAUGGAAUUUGUUUCAGAGAUGUAAGGUUGUCUCAGUAUUUGAAAAAUCAAUGUACUCCACCAUAUUAGCAGGCUAAAGAAGAAAGCACACAAUCAUAUUUAUCAAUGCAGAAAAGACAUUUGACAAAAUUCAGCACCUAUUUAUGUUUUUUUAUUAGUUUGUUUAUUAUUAGAGAGAGAGAGAAGGGGAGGGGCACAGAAAGAGGGAGAGAGAGAGAGAGAGAGAGAGAGAGAGAGAGAGAGAGAGAAUUCCAAGCAGGCUCCACACCGUCAGCACAGAGCCCAAUGUGGGGCUCAAACUCACAAACCAUGAGAUCAUGACCUGAGCUGAAAUCAAGAGUCAGACAUUUAACCGACUCUUGUCAGCCACCCAGGUGCCCCAGGACCUAUUUAUGGCUAAUGCUCUAAAAAAAAAAAAAAAAAAGGAACUAACUUCCCCAAGUUGCUUUUUUAAAUUUUAAUCUACAAAAAAACACUACAACUAGCCUUAUAUUCAGUGAUGAAAGACUGAAUGCUGUCUUCCUAAGAUCAGGAACAAGACAAAGAUAUCUACCCUCACUCCUCUUAUUCAGGAUUGUGCUGGAAGUUCUAGCCAGUGUGUUAAGGCAAGAAAAGGAAAUAAAAGUCAUAUAAAAUGGAAAGGAAGAGAUAGAACUGCCUCUAUUUGUAAAAGACAUGAUUGCUUACAUAGAAAAGUCCUAAGAAACCUACAAAAACAAAACAAAAAAACCCUUCUACAACUAAUUAGUGAGUUCAGAAGACUGCAGGAUUACAAGAUAAACACAAAAAUGCAUUGUAUUUCUAUAUGGUAGUAAUGAACAUAUGGACAGUGAAAUUAAAAAUACAAUAAUGUUUAUAAUUACUCAAAAAAUUGAAAUAUUUCAGAAUAAAUCUAACAAAACAUGAACAGGAUGUGUAUGCUAAAAACUGCAAAACACUGGCUAAAUAAAUCUAAGAAUAUCUAAAUACAUGGAAAGAUAUAUUGCAUUCAUGGAUUGGAAGAUUCAACAUGGUAAAUUUUCUCCAGUCAAUUUUCUCCAGUUUAAUGCAAUUCCUACAAAAUCCCAGCAAGACUUUUUGUCAUUAUAGACAAAAUUACUGUACAAUAUAUAUGGAAAAGCAAAAGAACUAGAAAAGCCAAACAAUUAAAAAAAAAAAAGCGGGAGAAAUCAGUCUAUUCAAUUUCAAGACUUGUUAUUAUAUAGUUACAGUAAAAGACUGUGAUCGUGAUGGAGGGAUAGACAUAUAGAUUAAUGGAGCACAAUGGAGAAUCUAGAUACAGACUCACACAAAUAUGCCCAACUGAUUUGUGUAUAUGUAUAUAUACACAUACAUAUGUAUACACAUACAUACGCUAUUGUAAAAUAUGUAAAACAUACAAUUUGCCAUUUUAACCAUUUUUAAGUAUACAAUUCAGAAGCACUGAUUAUGUUCACAAUGUUGUACAACCAGUACCAUCUAUUUCCAAAACUUUUCCAUCACCCUAAACAUAAACUCUAUAUCCAUUAAGCAAUAAUACCCUGCUCCCCUCAACUUCUACUUUCUGUCUCUAUGUAUUUGCUUGUUCUAGGUACUUCAUGUAGGUGGAGUCAUACACUAUUUGUCCUUUUGUGUCUAGCUUAUUUCACUUAGCACAAUGUUUUUUCAAGGCGCAUCUGUGGCAUAGCAUGUGUCAGAACUUCAUUUCUUUUUGUGGCUGAAUAAUAUUCCAUUCCACAUUUAGUCCACCCCUUCUUCAGCUGAUGGACACUUGGGUUGUUUCUACCUUGUGGCUAUUGUAAAUAACUCUGUAACAAACAUUGGAAAUAAGUAAGUGAGUCCCAGUUUUUUAUUCUUUCAGGCAUUUACCUAGGAGUGGCAUUUAUGGACCAUGAAGUACUUGUAUACUUAACUUUUUGAGGAAUUGCCAACCUGGUUUUUACAGCAGCUGCACCAUUUUAUAUUUCCACCACCAAUGUACAAGAGUUCCAAUUUCUCCAAAUUCUUGUCAACACUUGUUAUUAUCUGGUUUUGUUUGGUUUUUUAAAUUAUAGCAAUUCCU
This 16145-nucleotide long non-coding RNA is filed under the name Lynx pardinus (Iberian lynx). Lineage: Eukaryota; Metazoa; Chordata; Mammalia; Carnivora; Felidae. The record is from RNAcentral.